This 1476-nucleotide long non-coding RNA is filed under the name Equus asinus (donkey). RNAcentral describes it as "lncRNA (ENSEASG00005024638.1)". Lineage: Eukaryota; Metazoa; Chordata; Mammalia; Perissodactyla; Equidae. The record is from RNAcentral.
UCACACCACAGCAAUGCAGCUUCUGGAAACCCAUUGUGACAGUGCAGGGGGCCUGGAACGUUCCUGUGACUGGCUCUGGUGGGUGAGGCCUGCUGAGGCAUGUAGGUGACCAAGCAGUGCCCCCAAGGUCAGCUAAAGGGAUGGCUUUUAUCAUCCGCUGGUGAAAACUGAUGAACUGGUACUGAAUGUGACUGCGGUACCUCCUGGAAGACCAAGCGUCUCUAACCUGCUCCCGGGUCAGCAGCUCCCGGGCCUUGGAGGCUGCCUCUGAGUGCUCAGCAGGCUCACCCACGGACUUCCUGCUCUCUCAUGCCACCACGCCUUAGUCAAAGACUUUUACAUGCUUCCCUGCUCCUGCUAUUGAACGUGGCUUGGGACUGCUAUGGAGCUCACUCUGGCCCAUUUUUCACCAUCAUGUAACUGACUCAGCCUUUCAAUUUCCACUCCAAAUUCCUCUGCCUGGUGGAUUUCUGUCUCUGUAAUAACUAAAUGUGGCUGGCCAGACUUGGGAGUGGUGGGACAGAAUCAUAAAGAACCCUAGACUGUUCCUCCUAGAGGUGUGGGUAAAGCAGAUUCUCGAAGGAAGGAGGUUCACACGUACAUGCUCUACUUGCUUUAUCUGUCUAACAUAUCUCCCAGGUUACAACUAUUUUUGGAAAAAUUGCCCUGGAGAGAAAACUGAAAACUGGAUAAACAGAACCCUCACAACAAGGGACAGUCUUGACUGAGGUGGAAGAGGCAGAAAUUCCUUCUGGAGAGAAAAAAAUACCACCUUUGUGAGACCCAGAGAUUCACAGCUGGCCAGGCAGGAGCCAUCCUAAGAUGUUUGCAAAAUCCGUGGACCUGAGUUAUAAUGACGUGUGCUGCUAAUAGAUGGUAUCAUUUAGCAUGCAAAGUAGUACACUUCCCUAAAUUUCAGUGCUUAUUUCACUCGAUGUGCCAAUCAGCUGCCUCAUUUGGGCUCCUGAAGAACCAGAAUUUUCAGCUCCGCUGGCCUGGAUUCCUUGUCUCGUCAGCACAAUCCUCUGCUGCUCCAGAGUUUGGCUAUUGCGGGAACUCAGCUUCUGUUCAUCUUUCCUGCCCCUGCUCUCAUCAAGCCUGACUUUGUCAUUCAAGUGGAAGAUUUGACUGGCCAGCCAAUUCCAACCUACUAGUGUCCUCCAGCUGUCUAUGGGUGGGACCACUGUCUACAAAGUGACCACAUGCCAGAGCUUAUAGACUGGGGUCCCACCUUUGUCCAGGGAAUGUGGCCCAGCCAACUGUUUUGGGAUGUUUGUGACAACUGUGCAAAUUAUGGCCACUUUUUCCAUAAGAAAUUGUACAUGUGGCCAACACUCAGAGCGUUAUAUCUCUUAAACAGGUUUAGUAGUUCAGUGUUAAAUUAUUUUCUAAUUUUGUAAAAUUGGUAGUGAAUCUUAUAUGUAAACUCUAUUAACUUGAAUUUUAUGUCAGAACACUACCUAUCAUGGGUGUCAG